RNAcentral lists this long non-coding RNA (811 nucleotides) under Ananas comosus (pineapple). RNAcentral describes it as "long non-coding RNA (ACOM_LNC032226)". Lineage: Eukaryota; Viridiplantae; Streptophyta; Magnoliopsida; Poales; Bromeliaceae. The record is from RNAcentral.
GGCGUCGGGGCGGAGGAGGGAGGGGAGGGGGAGCUCCUCCGGGGGCGCGGCGGAGAUGGCGGUGGAGGAGCGGGAGUGGGAGAGGGAGAGGGAGAGGGAGAGGGGGCGAGGACGGGGGAGGGUGAGGUCGGGGACGCGGAGGGAGGUCUCGAGGUAGUCGGCGAGGACGCGGUCGUCGACGGCGGCGGAGCGGGCGCCCUUCGCCGUCUUGAUCGGCGUCGGCGGCGGCGCCCGGAAUCGCGGCCGCCUCGGGCGGGGCGCCGACGCCGGCAUCGAUCGGAGGCGGAGGCGGAGGCGGAGAUAUGAAAAGCCGUUGGAUUCGAAACUGGGAAAAGCGCUGGCUCUUCCAAUAAUCGGGGUAAAUUGCGUGGAUAGUCCCUGCACUACCUUAUAAUUGGUNCCUCUCCUCCCCGAUCCCGAACACCUGCUUUCCGGAAUCGACCGCCGAUCUCACCUCCUCGGCGGCCGACGCCGCCGCGGCGAUCGAGAAGCCCCCGGAGGCGGAGGCGGCGGCGACGGCGCGGCGGAGCGCGGCGGCGUCGGGGCGGAGGAGGGAGGGGAGGGGGAGCUCCUCCGGGGGCGCGGCGGAGAUGGCGGUGGAGGAGCGGGAGUGGGAGAGGGAGAGGGGGCGAGGACGGGGGAGGGUGAGGUCGGGGACGCGGAGGGAGGUCUCGAGGUAGUCGGCGAGGACGCGGUCGUCGACGGCGGCGGAGCGGGCGCCCUUCGCCGUCUUGAUCGGAGUCGGCGGCGGCGCCCGGAAUCGCGGCCGCCUCGGGCGGGGCGCCGACGCCGGCAUCGAUCGGAGGCGGAG